UACGGAAGGUGCAAGCGUUAUCCGGAUUUACUGGGCUUAAAGGGCGCGUAGGUGGGUUGGUAAGUCAGUGGUGAAAUACUUUCGCUUAACGAAGGAACUGCCAUUGAUACUACCAGUCUUGAAUACAGUGGAGGUAGGCGGAAUGCGUCAUGUAGCGGUGAAAUGCUUAGAUAUGACGCAGAACACCAAUUGCGAAGGCAGCUUGCUACACUGUUAUUGACACUGAGGCACGAAAGCGUGGGGAUCAAACAGG
Molecule: ribosomal RNA, 253 nt
Filed under: uncultured bacterium
Lineage: Bacteria
Description: partial 16S ribosomal RNA
Rfam family: Bacterial small subunit ribosomal RNA
Source: RNAcentral